This 468-nucleotide ribosomal RNA is filed under the name uncultured bacterium. RNAcentral describes it as "partial 16S ribosomal RNA". It matches the Rfam family "Bacterial small subunit ribosomal RNA", at positions 28 to 507 of the family's 1533-position model. The record is from RNAcentral.
GACGAACGCUGGCGGCGUGCUUAACACAUGCAAGUCGAACGGAAAGGCCCUGCUUUUGUGGGGUGCUAGAGUGGCGAACGGGUGAGUAACACGUGAGUAACCUGCCCUUGACUUUGGGAUAACUUCAGGAAACUGGGGCUAAUACCGGAUAGGAGCUCCUGCUGCAUGGUGGGGGUUGGAAAGUUUCGGCGGUUGGGGAUGGACUCGCGGCUUAUCAGCUUGUUGGUGGGGUAGUGGCUUACCAAGGCUUUGACGGGUAGCCGGCCUGAGAGGGUGACCGGCCACAUUGGGACUGAGAUACGGCCCAGACUCCUACGGGAGGCAGCAGUGGGGAAUAUUGCACAAUGGGCGGAAGCCUGAUGCAGCAACGCCGCGUGCGGGAUGACGGCCUUCGGGUUGUAAACCGCUUUCGCCUGUGACGAAGCGUGAGUGACGGUAAUGGGUAAAGAAGCACCGGCUAACCACGUG